Molecule: unclassified non-coding RNA, 1884 nt
Filed under: Hevea brasiliensis (rubber tree)
Lineage: Eukaryota; Viridiplantae; Streptophyta; Magnoliopsida; Malpighiales; Euphorbiaceae
Source: RNAcentral
AUAUCCUAAAUUAUUUGCCUAAAAUUAGUACGGACAUGAAUCCUAUUUUAUAUUCUCAUCACAAUCACAUAACUCAAUAGACAGCACAGCACAAAAUCAUUCUCCAAUGGCCAAAGCAACAACGCUUUUGGCCAUUCUUCUUGUUCUUGUGUUUAACCUUUCUUGUUUCUCUUCUUUGACAUUGGCUGCAAGAGAUGAUUCAGUCUAUGAAUCUUUCCUCCAAUGCCUGAAAAGCAAAACAAACCCACAAGACCAAAUCUCAGACAUAGUCUAUCCCCAAACCAAUUUAUCAUACACUUCAGUUCUUCGAGCCUACAUUCGAAAUGCUCGCAUGAAUACCUCCACAACCCCUAAACCACUAAUCAUUAUAACCCCUAAACAGAUUUCCCAUGUCCAAGCCUCUGUUAUCUGCUCCAAAAAGGUUGGUUACCAACUCAAAAUCCGCAGUGGCGGCCAUGACUAUGAAGGGAUUUCUUACAUUUCUAACGUUCCCUUUUUCGUUCUUGAUAUGUUUAAUCUUCGAUCCAUGGAAGUAGAUGUUAAAAAUGAAACUGCUUGGGUUCAGAGUGGUGCUACUCUUGGUGAACUUUAUUAUAAAAUCAGGAAGAAGAGCAAAGUUCAUGGUUUCCCUGCUGGGGUUUGUUUUACAAUUGGCGUUGGUGGGCAUUUUAGUGGGGGUGGAUAUGGCAACAUGUUGAGGAAGUAUGGUUUGGCAGUGGAUAACGUCCUUGAUGUUCAAAUGGUUGAUGCUAAUGGCAAGCUUUUGGAUAGAAAAGCAAUGGGUGAGGGUCUUUUUUGGGCAAUUCGAGGAGGUGGGGGUGGAAGUUUUGGUGUCAUAAUCUCUUACAAAAUCAGGCUUGUUUCUGUUCCCGAGACUGUUACUGUUUUCAGAGUUGAAAGAACUCUUGAUGAGAAUGCCACUGAUAUUGUUUUUAAGUGGCAAUUUGUUGCUCCCAAAACAGAUAAUGGUCUCUUCAUGAGAAUGCUAUUGCAGCCUGUAACGUCCAAGAAAAACAAAACUGAGAAGACCAUUAGAGCAUCGAUUGUGGCUUUGUAUUUGGGAAACGCUGAUACUCUUGUGUCCUUAUUGGCCAAGGAAUUCCCUGAAAUGGAGUUGAAGAAAGAUAAUUGCAAUGAGACGAGUUGGAUUCAAUCUGUCAUCUGGUGGGCAAAUUAUGAUAUUGGAACAUCGCCUGAGGUUCUGCUUGAUAGAGAUAUUGACUCUGCCAAAUUCCUGAAGAGAAAAUCAGAUUAUGUCCAGACUCCAAUACCUAAAGACAAGUUGAAUGGGAUUUGGCAGUUGAUGAUUGAAUUGGGAAAAACAGGAUUAGUUUUCAAUCCAUACGGUGGAAGAAUGAGUGAAAUUCCUGCAACUAAAACUCCCUUUCCACAUCGAGCAGGGAACUUGUUCAAGAUCCAAUAUUCAGUGACUUGGGAUGAAGCAGGAAGCACAGCAGAGAACGAGUACUUGUCUCAGCCAAGGAAGCUGUACAGAUAUAUGACUCCAUUUGUGUCCAAAAAUCCAAGGGGUGCAUUUUUUCCCUACAGGGAUCUUGAUAUUGGUGUGAUGAAAGCUGGUAAAAACAGCUAUGAGGAGGGUAGUGUUUAUGGAAAGAAAUACUUUAAUGGCAACUUUGAUAGAUUGGUAAAAGUGAAGACAGCAGUUGAUCCAGACAAUUUCUUCAGGAAUGAACAGAGCAUCCCUACUCUUCCAACCAAGGCAUAGAAGAUUUUAGUAGUGAUUAUGCACUAGCAACAACUGAUUUUGUUUUGCUUUGUAAUACAAGUCAAUAAGUAAUCUGUGAUAUAUACCUUAUUGAAUCUGUGAUAUAUACCUUAUUGAUCGUACAACACAUGAUUAAUUCUUUUUAUAUUUAUUUUGUU